RNAcentral lists this ribosomal RNA (745 nucleotides) under uncultured bacterium. Its description in RNAcentral is "bacterial SSU rRNA". It matches the Rfam family "Bacterial small subunit ribosomal RNA". The record is from RNAcentral.
AUUCGACCCCGUGCUUCUUUGUCGCACAGGAAAAGGGCCACAAUAAUCUCUGGUCACUAUAAAGAGACUUGUCAAUUCGGUCCCACAACCAUACGUCCCCGGGGGUCACGUCCUUUAUCCCUCGAGGGAUGGGCGCGCCCCCCCAAGCUGUGGUUUUGUUUUUAAUUCGAAGCAACGGGAGACCCUACCCAGGGCUUGACUUCUUUGACCGCUCUAGAGAUAGAGCUUCCUUCGGGACAGAGUGACAGGUGGUGCAUGGUGUCGUCAGCUCGUGUCGUGAGAUGUUUGGUUAAGUCCAAUAACGAGCGCAACCCUGUUGCUAGUUGCUAACAUUUAGUUGAGAACUCUAGCGAGACUGCCGCGGACAACGCGGAGGAAGGAGGGGACGACGUCAAAUCAUCAUGCCCCUUAUGUCCUGGGCUACACACGUAAUACAAUGGCAACGACAGAGGGCAGCUAAGCCGCGAGGCCGAGCGAAUCCCCAAACAAUGUCCCAGUAAAGACUGUAGGCUGCAACUCGCCUACACGAAGUCGGAAUUGCUAGUAAUGGCAGGUCAGCAUACUGCCGUGAAUACGUUCCCGGGCCUUGUACACACCGCCCGUCACACCAUGAGAGUCUGCAAUACCCGAAGUCAGUAGUCUAACCGCAAGGAGGACGCUGCCGAAGGUAGGGCCGAUAAUUGGGGUGAAGUCGUAACAAGGUAGCCGUAUCGGAAGGUGCGGCUGGAUCACCUCCGUGCUAAUC